UCUUCAUGGGCUUCUACAACAUGACUCAUUAUAACAAAGGAAGACAAUUACAUGCUUUUACACCCAUAACUUAUCUAAGCUGCCAUGUACUCCAGUUGUCUACAAGGGCCCAGAGCUCUUGGAAUUUGAGGCUUUCUCCUGAGAUUCUGUGAUAAAUGCUUAGCUGGAUGAACAAAAAUUUAGCUCAAGUACAUCAUAUGAUGAGGACAAACUGAGAGAAAUGCUUCACCUAGGCUUUGCUCUCAUUUCUCAGGCCUGGUGGAUACAAAAUGUGUUAGAAAAGAUAAGUGAGUCUUCCUUAACAUUUCAGCUUUACAUUAAGUGACCAUGACUUGAACCUCAGCUAUACUUUCAGUGGAUUCCCUUUGCGAUUUUUUCUUUAAGCAGGAGCCAGGGACUGCAUCAUAUUAUUAUAAUUUUUAAUAAGUUUGUUAUGACUGUUCCUAUUAAAGAUAUGCCUUCUUCUAAUCCCACAAGCCUCCAAUUUACUCAUUAGAGAGAUUGAUGUUCUCAGACAGCCACUGUUUUGGUGACAUGCUGACAAGUGGUGACAGUAAUAGACAGUCUACAGUAAUCUGCAUAUCCUUGGCUUCUGGGCAUGUACUCAUGCUAUACUUUACAUGCAUCUGACAUAUAUUUUAGUAUGUGAAUGUUAUAUUUGUAGUAGGAGCUUUGGUUUUAUUUUUUCCAAAUCUCAACCGAUAACAACAAAAUGUCUGUUGAUAAAGCAUCAGCGGUUGAACUGGCAAGUCACACAUAGGAAGAACAAGAUUAAAAACCUGCUCUACGUUUAUAGUAUUUAUUUCUCUUUUGGAUUUCUGGUUCCUUCGUUCAUCCCUAAAGUGAAUUAUUUUCACAUAUUAGUGAUAAGCUAUCACACCAACUACAUAAAAGGGAUAGGGAAAUAUAAAGAGAGACCGAAAAUAACUUAGUGUUUGCUAGUGGGUCUUUUGCAGCCAUGUUUGUUCCACUCUGGUGAAAUCAAAGAGAGCACAAACCAACAUGCAACAAAAUGCUAAAUACACAGAAUGCAUCUCUGGAAAGCUCUCUUGCUUGGUACAUCUUGCUUUCUCCCCUUCCUCAUUGCCUACCUGUUUCCUUAAUCACAUUGGUGAGAAGAAUUCUGUAGAAAUGCUAUCAGAAGUUUUCUAUAAUGUUGAUUACUCUGGCACUAUUCAGAUGUGAACAAUUCAGGUGUGAGAAUAUGAACAAGUACAGAAGGAAAAAUGAAUGAGACAAAGAAGUGAGAAGGAAAAGAGGAUGAGAAGGAGGAAGAAGAGGAGAGGGAGGAGGAGAGAAGACAAGGUGCAGGAGGAGAAGUAGCCACUCCCAUCUGGGUUCAGUGAAGUCCUAAGUGUCAGAAGAAGGCAUUGAGACUUAACAACUCUUGUCAAAUUAGGAUGAAGGUGCUAAAUGAAGAAGCGAGCAUUUUGAAUCACAGUCAGUAAGCGGAGAGCAGACUGGAGAUGAUCUGAGUCUUUGAACUCUCAAAGCCUUCCCUCCGUGACGUGCUUUCUCAGGCAACAUACCCAAACAGUGCCAUCAAUUAGGGACCAGGUAUUCAAGGUUCUAAGGUUAAGAGGGAUAUUUGUCAUCGAAAAAAACCACAAAGAUCAUUAUUUCCCUCAAUUCACUUUAAACAUGUAAAGAGAAUAAAAGGAAAAACAAUGUAAUUAAGCAUGAGCAGGAAGAAACAUGAGUUUUGAAGAUCAGCUGGAUCCUUCUCCAUGGGAUAGUUGCUGUAGAAAGCCACAAAGCUAUUCAUUGUCCCACAUUCCUAAUGAGCAAGAGGAUGGGCACAGAUAUUCACUAGCAGAUGUGUGUGGUCAAGGUAACUUGUGCCCCUUCUCUUCCAACAGUAAACAAUCAUGAAGAAGGCUUAAGAAAUGGAUGACUUUCUGUUAUUACAUGCCAAUAAGAUGAGAGCUGAGGUGGAGAAUGGGGGAAGAGCAAAAUUCCCUAUAGAUGGUCUAUCAUUAUCCUUGUUAUCCCAAACUUUGACUUUUUGUGAAGAAAGUGAUUUUGAGAGAGAACCAUUAAGAAAGAAAGUUGUUGUUUACAAAGAGUCUGAUAAAAUAGGUAGAAAGUCUUUUUAUAACCAGGCAAUCCACCUAUGAGCAUGGCACAAAUAGAAACUUUCUGUUAAAGCCCAGGAAUAUAAAUGGAAGUAAAUGGCAGCAUUAUUGCAUGAAUAAAUGAGUUAGUCAAUCAAUCACUGACAAGGCACACUCUGUAAUCAAAAGAUUUUUCAUGUUAAGAUUAAUUUCAUUUAAUACCAUUCUAAAUAUUGCAUAAGCCCCUUUGACAUUGAAUUAUAUUUCAUAAGACAGAAGGAGUACUUUUAGAAGCCAGAGAAUGGUAGACAGUCAGGAACGAUUCUCUAAGAUUUCAGGGUCUGGGUGGUCACAGGCACAGGUUUGCAAAUGCUUUAAAAGUCAUUGACUAAAACUGAAGUGACUAGCUAUGGGUGCUUUUUAAAUGAUGCUAGUGGCUGACAAUAUUGGUAAAGUCAAGAUUAUCAGGAAAAAACUCCUUUAAACUUAGAUCUUACACAUGAAACUUAUACCAAGUAACUACAGAAUAGUGAACAGAUAGUCCUUCUCAACAUAUGAAUAAUAACAAAAUACAUUGAAUGCAUAUGCACUGUUUGUAGCAUCUCAUAUUUGAUCCUGAAGCCAGUAAUAAGUACCAUACCAACAUAAGAUAACUUGAAGUCAGUUCAUCCCAUUCACCCGCCUUUUGCCAUGUAGACUCAAGAAAGACAGCCUCAUCUUGCCAGUAUCAGAAUAUUCUUCUCCCUGAACCAAAGCAAGAAAAGUCAACAAGGCUGCUUUAAAUUCACAGUGGUGCUAUCCCUCUGAAUUAAAGGAUGAGAAACAUGUAAAAACAAUUUUUGGAUUCUGUCACUAAAUUACUAUAAAAUAAUUGGCACAGGACUGUCUCUACUCCCCUCCAGCUGCAGUCAUCCUCAUAUAGGAGAACUCUCAUGGAGAACUUACUAAGAAUUACUUCUUACAAACAAUUUUCUGGUCAUUUCUUGCUUCCUCUCUUAACUUCUAUUUUACAUAGAUUUUUCCACAACUGAAAACAUAGAAAAAAGGUAAACUUUCAUAAAUUCACACUGUUUCAACAGAGAAACUUAGUUUUGUAUUUCAACCAGAGCAGAUUUACUCCCUGGGAGACCCUUGACAAAUACAAUUGCAGUUUAUUACUAGAUGUGCAGUAUAAAAUUUUGGUAAAGAAAAAUAAGAAGGCUAUGCAUGGAUUUAAACAAAGACAAUCCCUCUUUACCAAGUGUAAAGGUUUUUAAAAUUUAAGAAAUUUUACUUAUGGAAAAUAUAGAGAAGACAUUUUUCCUUAGUCUGCAUUCCCCAUCUCUUUACAGAAUAGUAGAUUCCUAAGAGUUACAAGUCCUUCUCAGGAUAGUCUUGUGGAGUGAAAAGCUGCACCUUAAGGUGAGUGAGAGAAACCAUUCCAAUGUUCUUAGCAUCAAGCACAACAAACCAAUUUAGAAACAGACAUCCUAGUACCUGCCACUGCCCAUCUAGUCCACCCGGGUUGCUGAGGACAGUGCUUGGACUGAGUUGCUUGUGACCUCUGUUUUCUAUUCAGAUGUACCCAAUCUUCAGAAUAGUGGGGCUUUUAACCUCCUCUCCACUUUCUGCCUCAUUUUAUAAACUUUUCAUAAAGUCAGUGACUAUGGGUCUGGAUGGGUUCUUUACCAUUUAUUAGAGCAGAGAUGUUAUUUAUUUCAUGGGUGAACAAACUCCAAGGAAGAAGGAAGACUCAUCAUCCACCUGUAAUCUGGAGAAGGACUAAAACUUGCAUCCGGCCUCACAUUCUCAGUCAAUGCUGUCUGCUUUCUCAGAACUACAUCUCUGAGUCCACAAUGUGUGGAUCUAUCAUAGGGCUCUUUCUACCAAGAAACAGGGAAUCCACAUUGCUGCAUUUGGAGUUUUGCAUAUUAUAACAAGUGGCAAUAUCUGGCCACAGUGUAUUCAAGUUUUUAAGAUGGCAGAAAUAAAAAGACAAAAAAAAUGUUUAAAGGAUCAUUAGAACUGGGGAUAUGGCUCAGUUGGCAUGGUGUUUAUCUGGCAGGCACGAAGCCCUGCAUAUUGCUCAAGCUGUAAUCCCAACACACAGAAGUGGAGGCAGGAGGAUCAAAAGUUCAAGGUCAUCUCAGCCAACUGGAAGCCAGGUUGGGGUGCCUGAGACUCUGUUUCACAUCAAAGCCAAAGAAACAUAACAUUGCAGGAUCUUUCCCCCUAAGAGUGGUUACCAAUAAUGGUAAGUGGAAUGAUGCACUGAAAGUCCUUCCUAAGCAGCUGAGCAUGUGUUCAGGUCACAGCUUCCUACUCUAGGAAAACCCAAAUUUACAGGCUUGUUUUUGCAUUUUUCAAAUAGUUACAUGUAUUCCUCUGGGGGAGAAAACAACUCUGGCAUUCAGAUGACGGUUUGGGAUGUGUUCUAAGGAUGCUUUCUUGUUGUUGUAAUAUAAGGAGAUGACGUUUAUAAGCACCUUUGUGUUGGUGUGACAAAGCCAAGGAAUGUAACUUUCUUACUGUUUUGAUAAUACAUCCAAUAUGGUCAUUCUUCCCUUUAAAAUGAAUAGCCCGUGCCAUGCAGAGCCUCAGUCCUUGUCAGCAUUGGCUUCUGGGAUUUAAAGACCGUUUCUAGGAGCAGAGAGGAGCACGGUGGCAAGAGCUGGAUCAGGACUGGCAUUCCUCUUAAGAGGCAGCCUGUUGCUCACAUCCCUGUAAUAGUUAAUCAUGUGCCAUCCACUGCAAUUGUCUCUUUCUUGUCUAUUUUGGCCAUAAUUUAGAAAUAUCUCUAUUUUUUUGGCUGUCGGGAAAGACAAGAAUCAAGAGUGUAUGGACCCUAUUUUCAACAUGAUUACUCUUUAAGAUUUUUUAUUUUUACAUUUUCAAUUAAAAUAGAAUUAUGUCACUUUCUCCCUUCUCUUUCCUCUCCAACUCCUCCCAUGCCCCUUUAUCUGAAAUUAAUAACAUGCUUUUCUUUACAAUUUUCCCUCGUUAUUGUUAUAUGUAUCUGUGCAAAAAUAUAUACUCUCUGCUGAGUCUGGUUUUGGUGGUGUGUUUAUGGUUGCCCACUUUGUAUUGACUGGCAUUCUUCUUAAGGGGACAGAGCUGACUGAGCAGCAGCCAAAUUCAGUUCCAUCCCUAUCUAAUUACUGUUUUUGUAUCAGAAGAAAUAGUGUUUUCAAUUUUUGAGUUAUUAAAAUAUUAUCAUUAGCUGAUCUUAAGUCUAAAGGUGGUUUUAGUAUGACCAAAAUGUUUUCACAAAGCAAACAAUGGCUUGUGUAAGAGCAGUUAACUCUAGUUCUUUGGUCCAUCUUUGUGUUCAUAUGUAGUUUCUUGUUUCUAGUUUUGGCUUUCAGUUGUUUGACAGACUAUAAAUUUAAUAUUAUAAAUUUUGUGGUCACAGUCUAGACCCUAGAUUCUUAACAGAUAUUAAUAAUAACACUAGAAACAUUUUUCUUGGUCCAAUGGCAACCUUGUCAUCAGAUUGUAACCAAGAGUAAAUAGAACACUCAAUUCAGCCCAUGUGCUCAUUAUGAACCCCAGAGAGAAUAAAUCAAACCUUUUCUUCAUGCUAAUGACUGAGUAGAAAGUCAAGGCUGGCAGGAAAUCAGUUCUGACUAACUUAUGGAUUCACCUGUCAAUUUAUUGCUUCUGUGAACAUCUCCGUAGAGUUAUCGUUAGGUAAUAAUGAAAAGAAUAGGAUGCCUUGUUCCCCUUAUGUUCUGGGCACUUGUGGUGGCACAUAGGUUCAGAGAUAUUCCCCACAACAGCAGUCCAUUUGUUGGAGAAAGGAAGUGUGAAACUGGGUAGAAAAUUGUGUUAACACAAUGAAGGAUAGGUACAUGGCUUAGUGGCACCCUAGUAUUAAUUCUACAGAUUGAAAUAGUCCCCUCUCCCACAUAAACAACUCCAAUGUUAAAAAGAGGGAAAGGGGACAUUGAGAGGCAACCCAACAUUAAAAAUAAAUAAGCAGAUGAAGGAAUAACACAAAUAGAGAACUUUAGGAAAAAGGCUGAAGAGAAGCGACUGCUAUUUGUGAUAGUCAAAAGGUCUUGAAAUAUUUCCUGACUUCCCGAGGCUCCAUCCACACAGCCCUAACCCACAAUUACAGAACAGAGGAAGGUGAGAGACCUUCACCUGUGUUGGAGGGGAACGUUCUGUCUCUUCCAUGGAGAUUUCAAUGGUGCAAAUCUGGAGAGACAUUAGGAACAUAGAUUUGAAACAGGUCUUCCUAAGAGACAUGGGCUCAUCCCUUACUCCUAGUCCAUGAGUGUUUUUCUAAGUGCAUUCUUGGGUACCUGCAUCGGAAUCACUUGAAAAUCCAGUUCCUGGGUUCCAAUAUAUAUGUAUGGAAUCUAUCUCCAGUAUAAUUUUGGUGUGCACUGAAGCCUGAGAGCUAUUAAAUCAGAGAAAUGUGACCAGAUAUCCCUUCACAACAUUAGCACUCAGCUGAGCUGAGUCCUUUUCAUGGGAAACCCAUUGUAAUCCGUCAGGAUUCUUCUGCAUAUUUGCCACUGUUCUUUUGUAAGCAAAGAGCACACAUGUUACUGGCCAUAAGUCCACUACUCUAAAAAAUGGAACUUUCUGCAAUUGCAAGUAUUCUCUACAGUCUCUGGGGAAGGGCAGUAAUGGGGAAAUCUCAGCACUGUGAUUUGUGUGCAGCCGAGGCUUAUCUAAAAUCAAAGGGCUGGGCUGAAGCCUACAGAAAAGGUCAAUGGCCCUUGUGGGUUGUUUGUUUGUUUUUCCUUAUUUCAUUCCCCGUUCCUAUUGUAAACCUGGAAAUGGAGAGGAUGAUCAUUCCAGAAGCAAUGGCCACCCAGGGCUGAGAAGAUGAACACAAAUACACAUACAUUGAUGACAAUUUGAAAACUCUAAAAUAUAUUUUUAUGACUGUCAAAGUCAUCAUUUCUUUGACAACUUCUACUUAUUAUGGGAAACUGUGAAUCAUGCUUUUGCUUUUGCACUUACAUAGAUAAAAUUACAUAACUAUUUUAAUGUUACAGGCUUAUUUGUCAAAUUUAGAAAUUCAAUAUGAAAUGAAGUCUGUCCAAUGACAAUGGUAACAGAACUAACCCCUCAGCAGAGCCAUUCUAUAGCUAACUACACAGACUUUCUCUAGAUUUCUUCGGUUUGAAUUAUAACUCCAGCACCUACUAGUUGUGUGACACUGAGAAAGGUAUUUAAUCUGUGUUUGAGGUAUCCCCAUAAUGUUGCUGCUGCUGCUGAAGAGGAGGAGGAGAAGGAGGAGGAGGAGGAGGAUGGAGAGGAGGAGGAGUACAGAGAAAGAUUUCUGCCUGAUGAGCUUCUUAGGAAGAGUAAAUGGCUCAAUAUUUAUAAGCUUCCAAACCACAGCUGUGUCUGUUAACCAGGAAUGAAGAAUGAGAGUCACUGUUUCCAUCCAGUCUUCAAAAGAGGUAUGUAACCCUCCAGCAUUAUGAGAGUCAGCCAGUAAGGAUGAAAUUUGCAGUUCAGAACAAGCUUGAUUUUUCCAUGUUCUGUGCUUCAAGUAUGAGGCAUCAUGUAAGAGCCUGAACAAGCUUGUGCAACCUCAAGCCACACAAGAUCACAGAUGCAGGAGUGGAGAAAGCCAGGAAAUUCCAUUCCUAGCUAAGGAGCUACUACUAUUUGUAUGUCUCUGGGAAAGGGAAAAUCUGGUUUCUUUAAUGGUAUGACACACUUCUGUGCCAACACCCUCCUGGGUGGGCCCCACAACCAGAAGUAGUUGGUCAACACAAACUGGACUCAAUGAAAAGAGAGGGGGACGAGAUGAAGUUGGCUGGAUAGGGAGGUGAGGUGGGGUCAUUAAUUUUAGCACCAAAUUUAAUUAUCUCUUCUAUUCUACUGUUUUUUAGUAUCGCUGGCUUCUAUACUUUUUCCCAAAAGUGUACUCAAAACACUUUUUACUCAGGUAAAAAUUAUACUUUGGUACAGCAGUAAAAUACUCAUAUGAUAUCUGUCUAAUUUUUUGAUGUAGGAAAUUGGGGCUAUGAACUUUCAUCACAGGACUGUCUUUUCAUUGUGAUUCAUAUAUCUGGGUAUAUUGUGUUUUUAUUUGCAUUCAUUUCAAGAUAUUUUAAAUUUUUCUUCUUGAUUUCUCACCUCACCAAUUUUCCAUGUUUGGUUUCCAUGCUUUUCUGUACUCAGGCCAUUUCUCUUCUUGAUAUCCAGAUUUAUUCUUUGUGGUCAAACAGAAUGUGAGGUAUCAUUUCCAUUUUCUAAAAUUUGUUGAAAUUUGCUUUGUGUCCUAAUAUGUGGACAGUUUCAUAGAACAUUCUACAGUCUGCUGAGAAAUGAUGUACUUUUUAGUGUUUGGAUGUAAUAUUCUCCAUAAGUCGUUUGAUUUCUGGUGUCAGUUAUCACUAGAGUUGUAUUUAGUUUUUGUUUGGAUGAUUGAUGCAGCGGUGAGAAUAUGAUGUGGAAAUCACAUACUAUCACUGUGUUGGGGUCAUUCUGUCAGUCUGUGAUUUUUAGAUCUAACAGUGUUUGUUUUAUGAAAUUGAAUGUCCUGUGUUUUGGUACAUAAAUGCUCAGGAUUAUAAUAUUCUUUUUGUGGAUUUUUUUGUUCUUUAAUGAGUUUAAAUGAACUUACCCAUUUCUUCUGGCUA
Mesocricetus auratus (golden hamster) is the source of this 8647-nucleotide long non-coding RNA. RefSeq lists it as uncharacterized. The record is from RefSeq and is a predicted model, not a curated record. NCBI's taxonomy places the organism in Eukaryota, Metazoa, Chordata, Mammalia, Rodentia, Cricetidae. The transcript is spliced from 3 exons.